Molecule: ribosomal RNA, 517 nt
Filed under: uncultured bacterium
Lineage: Bacteria
Description: bacterial SSU rRNA
Rfam family: Bacterial small subunit ribosomal RNA
Source: RNAcentral
UUUUUAGCAUGCAAGUCGAACGGUAAGGAAAAGCUUGCUUUUCUGGAGAGUGGCGAACGGGUGAGUGACACGUAGGUGAUCUACCCUUGGAUUGGGGAUAGCUCAUGGAAACAUGGGGUAAUACCGAAUAAGUUCUUAUAUUUACGGAUGUAAGAAGAAAAGCGCUAAGGCGCUGUCCGGGGAUGAGCCUGCGGCCCAUUAGUUAGUUGGUGGGGUAAAGGCCUACCAAGGCGACGAUGGGUAGCCGGCCUGAGAGGGUGGCCGGUCACACUGGGACUGAGACACGGCCCAGACUCCUACGGGAGGCAGCAGCUAAGAAUCUUCCGCAAUGGGGGAAACCCUGACGGAGCGACGCCGCGUGAACGAAGAAGGCCGGAAGGUUGUAAAGUUCUUUUCUUGCUGAAGAAUAAAGAUCGGAGGGAAUGCCGGUCAGAUGACGUUAGGCAAGGAAUAAGCCCCGGCUAAUUACGUGCCAGCAGCCGCGGUAACACGUAAGGGGCAAGCGUUGUUCGGAAUU